This 1556-nucleotide ribosomal RNA is filed under the name Salmonella enterica subsp. enterica serovar Saintpaul. RNAcentral describes it as "bacterial SSU rRNA". It matches the Rfam family "Bacterial small subunit ribosomal RNA". The record is from RNAcentral. Lineage: Bacteria; Pseudomonadati; Pseudomonadota; Gammaproteobacteria; Enterobacterales; Enterobacteriaceae.
UUAAAUUGAAGAGUUUGAUCAUGGCUCAGAUUGAACGCUGGCGGCAGGCCUAACACAUGCAAGUCGAACGGUAACAGGAAGCAGCUUGCUGCUUCGCUGACGAGUGGCGGACGGGUGAGUAAUGUCUGGGAAACUGCCUGAUGGAGGGGGAUAACUACUGGAAACGGUGGCUAAUACCGCAUAACGUCGCAAGACCAAAGAGGGGGACCUUCGGGCCUCUUGCCGUCAGAUGUGCCCAGAUGGGAUUAGCUUGUUGGUGAGGUAACGGCUCACCAAGGCGACGAUCCCUAGCUGGUCUGAGAGGAUGACCAGCCACACUGGAACUGAGACACGGUCCAGACUCCUACGGGAGGCAGCAGUGGGGAAUAUUGCACAAUGGGCGCAAGCCUGAUGCAGCCAUGCCGCGUGUAUGAAGAAGGCCUUCGGGUUGUAAAGUACUUUCAGCGGGGAGGAAGGUGUUGUGGUUAAUAACCGCAGCAAUUGACGUUACCCGCAGAAGAAGCACCGGCUAACUCCGUGCCAGCAGCCGCGGUAAUACGGAGGGUGCAAGCGUUAAUCGGAAUUACUGGGCGUAAAGCGCACGCAGGCGGUCUGUCAAGUCGGAUGUGAAAUCCCCGGGCUCAACCUGGGAACUGCAUUCGAAACUGGCAGGCUUGAGUCUUGUAGAGGGGGGUAGAAUUCCAGGUGUAGCGGUGAAAUGCGUAGAGAUCUGGAGGAAUACCGGUGGCGAAGGCGGCCCCCUGGACAAAGACUGACGCUCAGGUGCGAAAGCGUGGGGAGCAAACAGGAUUAGAUACCCUGGUAGUCCACGCCGUAAACGAUGUCUACUUGGAGGUUGUGCCCUUGAGGCGUGGCUUCCGGAGCUAACGCGUUAAGUAGACCGCCUGGGGAGUACGGCCGCAAGGUUAAAACUCAAAUGAAUUGACGGGGGCCCGCACAAGCGGUGGAGCAUGUGGUUUAAUUCGAUGCAACGCGAAGAACCUUACCUGGUCUUGACAUCCACAGAACUUUCCAGAGAUGGAUUGGUGCCUUCGGGAACUGUGAGACAGGUGCUGCAUGGCUGUCGUCAGCUCGUGUUGUGAAAUGUUGGGUUAAGUCCCGCAACGAGCGCAACCCUUAUCCUUUGUUGCCAGCGGUUAGGCCGGGAACUCAAAGGAGACUGCCAGUGAUAAACUGGAGGAAGGUGGGGAUGACGUCAAGUCAUCAUGGCCCUUACGACCAGGGCUACACACGUGCUACAAUGGCGCAUACAAAGAGAAGCGACCUCGCGAGAGCAAGCGGACCUCAUAAAGUGCGUCGUAGUCCGGAUUGGAGUCUGCAACUCGACUCCAUGAAGUCGGAAUCGCUAGUAAUCGUGGAUCAGAAUGCCACGGUGAAUACGUUCCCGGGCCUUGUACACACCGCCCGUCACACCAUGGGAGUGGGUUGCAAAAGAAGUAGGUAGCUUAACCUUCGGGAGGGCGCUUACCACUUUGUGAUUCAUGACUGGGGUGAAGUCGUAACAAGGUAACCGUAGGGGAACCUGCGGUUGGAUCACCUCCUUACCUUAAAGAAGC